This 497-nucleotide ribosomal RNA is filed under the name uncultured bacterium. RNAcentral's name for it is "partial 16S ribosomal RNA". It matches the Rfam family "Bacterial small subunit ribosomal RNA", at positions 28 to 507 of the family's 1533-position model. The record is from RNAcentral.
GAUGAACGCUGGCGGCGUGCUUAACACAUGCAAGUCGAGCGAACGGGCGCGGCGCUUGCUUUUUGGUUGUGUGCCGCGGAGGUGAGUGUAACGUGUGGAAACCCUCCCUGUAAGUCUGGUAUAACUUCGGGACACCGGCGCUUACACCGGAUAAGAUUUUGAUGCACAUUGGGGAAAAGUGAGAUACGGUCGUUCUGGCACGUCUAGAUGGAUCCGCGCUUCUUUAGGUAGUUGGUAAGUUAACGGGUUAUGAAGGCUACGAUGCAUAGCAGAACUGAGAGGGGGAUCGCCCACCCUGGAGCUGAACCACCGUCCUGGCGCCUACGGGAGGCAGCAGUAGGGAAUCGUCCGCAAUGGGCGAAAGCAUGACGGAGCAACGCCGCGUGAGUGAUGACGGUCUUCGGAUCGUAAAGCUCUGUUAUUAGGUAAGAACAUAUGUGUAAGUUACUGUGCACAGCUUGACGGUAACUAAUAAGAAAGCAACGGCUAACUACGUG